RNAcentral lists this ribosomal RNA (495 nucleotides) under Paenarthrobacter nitroguajacolicus. RNAcentral's name for it is "bacterial SSU rRNA". It matches the Rfam family "Bacterial small subunit ribosomal RNA", at positions 38 to 546 of the family's 1533-position model. The record is from RNAcentral. Lineage: Bacteria; Bacillati; Actinomycetota; Actinomycetes; Micrococcales; Micrococcaceae.
GACAUGUCGCCUUCUUACCAUGCGAGUCGAACGAUGAUCCCAGCUUGCUGGGGGAUUAGUGGCGAACGGGUGAGUAACACGUGAGUAACCUGCCCUUGACUCUGGGAUAAGCCUGGGAAACUGGGUCUAAUACCGGAUAUGACCGUCUGACGCAUGUCAGGUGGUGGAAAGCUUUUGUGGUUUUGGAUGGACUCGCGGCCUAUCAGCUUGUUGGUGGGGUAAUGGCCUACCAAGGCGACGACGGGUAGCCGGCCUGAGAGGGUGACCGGCCACACUGGGACUGAGACACGGCCCAGACUCCUACGGGAGGCAGCAGUGGGGAAUAUUGCACAAUGGGCGCAAGCCUGAUGCAGCGACGCCGCGUGAGGGAUGACGGCCUUCGGGUUGUAAACCUCUUUCAGUAGGGAAGAAGCGAAAGUGACGGUACCUGCAGAAGAAGCGCCGGCUAACUACUUGCCAGCAGCCGCGGUAAUACAUAGGGCGCAAGCGUUAUCC